GACAUGUGAAUGUGCAUAUCCAUCCUCCCAGGACGAAGCAAUGCAGGGUCCAAAACUUCUUUGCGAUUGGUAGUGAACACAAUUAUUCUCUCCUCUCCACAGCUCGACCACAAUCCAUCAAUGCAGUUUAGCAGACCCGAGAGCGAGAAUGGCUUGACAAGAUUGCAAUCAUCAUCAGAAUCGUCCGAUGAUACAGAUCGUUUGUGGACUCCGGCGCUGCAAUCUAUAUCCUCAAUCACUGUUAUAGACUUCCUGUCAAUAUCAAGCAUGGCUUUCCUCAGAUCAGCAUCAGAAAUAAUAUUUGCAAGCUCCAAAUCAUACACAUCAAAUUUCAAGUAAUUUGCCAUGGCUGCAAUUAGGCUUGAUUUCCC
RNAcentral lists this unclassified non-coding RNA (371 nucleotides) under Hevea brasiliensis (rubber tree). Lineage: Eukaryota; Viridiplantae; Streptophyta; Magnoliopsida; Malpighiales; Euphorbiaceae. The record is from RNAcentral.